GGAUUAGAUACCCUGGUAGUCCACGCCGUAAACGAUGGGUACUAGGUUUGGUGGGUCUUGACCCCCGCCGAAUCGGAGCUAACGCACUAAGUACCCCGCCUGGGAAGUACGGUCGCAAGACUAAAACUCAAAGGAAUUGACGGGGGCCCGCACAAGCGGUGGAUCAUGUGGUUUAAUUCGAAGCAACGCGAAGAACCUUACCUGGGUUUGACAUCUCCGGACCGAUAGAGAGAUCUAUUUUUAGUAGCAAUACUACCGGAUGACAGGUGCUGCAUGGCUGUCGUCAGCUCGUGCCG
RNAcentral lists this ribosomal RNA (296 nucleotides) under uncultured bacterium. RNAcentral describes it as "partial 16S ribosomal RNA". It matches the Rfam family "Bacterial small subunit ribosomal RNA", at positions 775 to 1067 of the family's 1533-position model. The record is from RNAcentral.